This 783-nucleotide long non-coding RNA is filed under the name Lactuca sativa (garden lettuce). RNAcentral's name for it is "long non-coding RNA (LSAT_LNC004669)". The record is from RNAcentral. Lineage: Eukaryota; Viridiplantae; Streptophyta; Magnoliopsida; Asterales; Asteraceae.
UUCACUUUUAAGCCCGAAUUGUGUAACCAGAAAGAUACUAUCGGAAAAGGUUUUCCACCGGCGCUUCCUGAUAUUCCUGCGCCGUUCUUGCCGCCGAUCGGUGGAGGUAUUUUACCUCCUCUUCCGGUGCCGGAUGUACCCAUGCCACCUCUAAUUCCCCCGCUACCACAGCUCCCUGGUAUUCCACUUCCACCUGUUACCCGCCAAAAAUCAUCGGAAUCCGAUAGAUUGGCCGAUCAAAAAAGUUUUGGUUUCCCGUUUCCACCGCCACUGUUCCCACCGCUGCCGUUUGUGCCAUCGCCGCCGUCAUUGAUUCCUCCCGUCAUUCCAACACCACCACCGUCACUGUUCCCUCCCCUCGUUCCAUCAACACCACCAUCAUUGUUUCCUCCCCUCGUUCCAUCACCACCAUCAUCGAUGUUUCCACCAUUGCCCUUUCCACCUGUACCAGGUUUGAUUCCAUCACCGCCGCCGCCACCACCGCCGGCGUUCCCAAUUCCUCUGCCUCCACUACCUCCGCUACCUCCGCUACCUCCAGUACCUCCGGUACCAGGAGUCCCACCGGCGAAAACCUCCCCUUGAUUAAACUCGUAUAUAUUUAAUAUUAUUACUGCAUAACCUUUUGAAGUAACCUUUCCAUACAUACGCGCGUAUUACAAUUAUGGGUAUUGUAAUUGUAGCAUGAAUAAAUCGUACAUGGUAAAAUGGUUGGGAUUCCUAUAAAUAGUUUAAAAUUUUUGAGAUCCAAUUAUGCGUUCUGAGUAUUGUUUAAUAGAUAGCAUU